This 681-nucleotide small RNA is filed under the name Pongo abelii (Sumatran orangutan). Its description in RNAcentral is "retained intron". The record is from RNAcentral. Lineage: Eukaryota; Metazoa; Chordata; Mammalia; Primates; Hominidae.
CCACCCCAUGUCCUGCUGUCUGGUCUCACCGGUGGGUGCUCCAGGCACCUGUGUAUGCCCUUGUCUGUCUGGCCAGGUGUGAUCCUAGGAGCGCCCCUGGCCUCCAGCUGCCCAGGAGCCUGUGGUACCAGCUUCCCAGAUGGCCUCACCCCUGAGGGAACCCAGGCCUCUGGGGACAAGGACAUUCCUGCAAUUAACCAAGGGCUCAUCCCGGAAGAAACCCCAGAGAGCAGCUUCCUCAUUGAGGGGGACAUCGUCCGGCCGAGUCCCUUCCGACUGCUGUCAGCAACCAGCAACAAGUGGCCCACGGGUGGUGGUGGUGUCGUGGAGGUCCCCUUCCUGCUCUCCAGCAAGUACGGUGAGUGCAAGUACGGUGAGUGAGCAUGGCGGGCUCCCUCCCUGCCUCAGCCCCUUCUUCCUAAUGUGGCAGAGGUGUUCCUCUCUUCCCUUUUCCUCUUCCACCACCACAUCCCCUCCACCUCCCCACCCAAAGAACCUGUCCACAGAAGCCCUUCUGUUCCUGAAGGUCUCCUGAGUAGGGAGCCGUUAAAAUCCUGGGAGAACUGAUGGGAAGGUAUGUCUAGGGGGAUCUGGUUCCCCUUGAGAUGGGGAUCUGGUUCCCCAUGCGGUGCAGAGGACAGUGACCUACCCAAGGCCACACAGCCAGGGUCUGUCUGGGAC